This 881-nucleotide ribosomal RNA is filed under the name Halomonas sp. MNB5a_MN. RNAcentral describes it as "bacterial SSU rRNA". It matches the Rfam family "Bacterial small subunit ribosomal RNA", at positions 578 to 1459 of the family's 1533-position model. Lineage: Bacteria; Pseudomonadati; Pseudomonadota; Gammaproteobacteria; Oceanospirillales; Halomonadaceae. The record is from RNAcentral.
GCUUGAUAAGCCGGUUGUGAAAGCCCCGGGCUCAACCUGGGAACGGCAUCCGGAACUGUCAAGCUAGAGUGCAGGAGAGGAAGGUAGAAUUCCCGGUGUAGCGGUGAAAUGCGUAGAGAUCGGGAGGAAUACCAGUGGCGAAGGCGGCCUUCUGGACUGACACUGACACUGAGGUGCGAAAGCGUGGGUAGCAAACAGGAUUAGAUACCCUGGUAGUCCACGCCGUAAACGAUGUCGACCAGCCGUUGGGUGCCUAGCGCACUUUGUGGCGAAGUUAACGCGAUAAGUCGACCGCCUGGGGAGUACGGCCGCAAGGUUAAAACUCAAAUGAAUUGACGGGGGCCCGCACAAGCGGUGGAGCAUGUGGUUUAAUUCGAUGCAACGCGAAGAACCUUACCUACUCUUGACAUCCUGCGAAUUUGGUAGAGAUACCUUAGUGCCUUCGGGAACGCAGAGACAGGUGCUGCAUGGCUGUCGUCAGCUCGUGUUGUGAAAUGUUGGGUUAAGUCCCGUAACGAGCGCAACCCUUGUCCUUAUUUGCCAGCGCGUAAUGGCGGGAACUCUAAGGAGACUGCCGGUGACAAACCGGAGGAAGGUGGGGACGACGUCAAGUCAUCAUGGCCCUUACGAGUAGGGCUACACACGUGCUACAAUGGUCGGUACAAAGGGUUGCCAACUCGCGAGAGUGAGCCAAUCCCGAAAAGCCGAUCUCAGUCCGGAUCGGAGUCUGCAACUCGACUCCGUGAAGUCGGAAUCGCUAGUAAUCGUAGAUCAGAAUGCUACGGUGAAUACGUUCCCGGGCCUUGUACACACCGCCCGUCACACCAUGGGGAGUGGACUGCACCAGAAGUGGUUAGCCUAACGCAAGAGGGCGAUCACCA